This 253-nucleotide ribosomal RNA is filed under the name Glomus sp. Bn. RNAcentral's name for it is "partial large subunit ribosomal RNA". It matches the Rfam family "Eukaryotic large subunit ribosomal RNA", at positions 325 to 522 of the family's 3401-position model. The record is from RNAcentral. Lineage: Eukaryota; Fungi; Glomeromycota; Glomeromycetes; Glomerales; Glomeraceae.
GGCGAGAGACACAUAGCGAACAAGUACCGUGAGGGAAAGAUGAAAAGAACUUUGAAAAGAGAGUUAAACAGUACGUGAAAUUGUUGAAAGGGAAACGAUUGAAAGUCAGUCAUACUAACGGGAAAUCAACCUCUUGAGUUUGGUCUCGUGGGUUUCGAAGAGUUUNAAAACCCUCCGAAUUUCCAAAAUGGGGCCCUCCNGGUUUNCUUCCCCNUNCGGUUAGUCANCNCCGGUUUUAAAUUUCUUAAAUUAA